Molecule: transfer RNA, 77 nt
Filed under: Pseudomonas sp.
Lineage: Bacteria; Pseudomonadati; Pseudomonadota; Gammaproteobacteria; Pseudomonadales; Pseudomonadaceae
Also listed under: 3 other names
Description: tRNA-Met
Rfam family: tRNA
About the family: Transfer RNA (tRNA) molecules are approximately 80 nucleotides in length.
Source: RNAcentral
UGCGGGAUGGAGCAGUCUGGUAGCUCGUCGGGCUCAUAACCCGAAGGUCGUCGGUUCAAAUCCGGCUCCCGCAACCA